This 354-nucleotide long non-coding RNA is filed under the name Marmota monax (woodchuck). Lineage: Eukaryota; Metazoa; Chordata; Mammalia; Rodentia; Sciuridae. The record is from RNAcentral.
AAAAUAAUGGCUGAGGUCUUUUUGUUUCUCAUUUUGUUCUCUGAUUUAUUCCCAGCAUCUCAAACAGGACACGGCACACAGCAACCCCUCAGAACACAGGCAAGAGUGAGUGAGUGAGUGAACGCAGGGUGUCUGGGCUCAGCCUGUCCUGGGCAAUCCAGCUCUGGAGCCAAAUGUGUGUCCUCACCCACACCAACAAGAGGCCUCCCAAGCUCACAUCCGUGGAUCACCUCCGGGCCUGUCAACCGUGACUUCGUCAUACGCCUUGAUCGUCCCUCUCUCUCACACCAAGCAGCUCAUGAAAACAUCCCUUUCACCACACAGACUCCUUGAAGAGAGGCCUGGUAAAUAUGA